GCACUCCAGCCUGGGCAACAGAGCGAGACUCCAUCUCAAAAAAAAUCAAUAAAUAAAGAGAAAAGAACGAAGCAGAUACAGGAGAGGAGAGCAGAGACACAGACCAAGAAGAGAGGCGGGAGGGGGGAAGAGGGAAGCCAACCUAUCCCGGAAGCCUCAGGCUCCCCUCCCUAGGCUAUCUCCAACACGUGGCAGCCGUUUUUACUCCAGGGUUCCAAGCGACCCUCCCAACACCCCUUUUCUGCUGAAACCACCUCAGGAGGGGUUUGAGGCCUGCGGCCAAGAGCCCUGACUGAGCAGCUCCAACAUCCCACCCCAUUCAACCUGGGGUCCUGGAGUGAUGCAAGCUGGCCGAGCCCCAACCCUGCGGGCCCCGGACUGUUGUCCACCCUCUUGCCUGGAAUGCUUCCUUCUCUGCCUCCCCACCCUUCAAGGCCCCACCCACACCAUCCCCCUCCUGGAUGGCGCCCCUCCCUGCUCCUCACCAUCCUCGGACACUUGGCUGUGAGUUCGUCUCGAGCCUGAACCAGAGGUCAGCUGAGGGCCUCUCCGCACCCCACCCCUCCAACUCACCAGCUCCUAGGCUUUACGUGCCCAACUGCCCUGUCUGCUGUCUCCUGAGCCUCCCCACAACACUGGGCCUCUGCAACCUUCGUGCCUUGGGAGGUGCUAUUCCCUUCAUCCAAAAUGCCUCCUUGCUAAGGCCCAUCUUGAAUCUGACCUCCUUCCUACGAGCCGCUAUUUACUCACUCUCAACAUACACCACGCACCGUGCUCCUGAGGACUGACCUGCUCACCUGCUCACCCGGUG
This 811-nucleotide long non-coding RNA is filed under the name Homo sapiens (human). Its description in RNAcentral is "HSALNT0355233". The record is from RNAcentral. Lineage: Eukaryota; Metazoa; Chordata; Mammalia; Primates; Hominidae.